UGGGGAAUUUUGCACAAUGGGGGAAACCCUGAUGCAGCGACGCCGCGUGAUUUAGAAGGCCUUCGGGUUGUAAAAAUCUUUUUUACGGGAUGAAAAUGACAGUACCGUAAGAAUAAGGUCCGGCUAAAUACGUGCCAGCAGCCGCGGUAAUACGUAUGGAGCGAGCGUUGUCCGGAAUCAUUGGGCGUAAAGGGUACGUAGGCGGCCUAGUAAGUUAGAAGUUAAAGAAUAUAGCUCAACUAUAUAAAGCUUUUAAAACUGCUAGGCUUGAGAGAUGGAAGGGAAAGUGGAAUUCCUAGUGUAGCGGUGAAAUGCGCAGAUAUUAGGAAGAAUACCGGUGGCGAAGGCGACUUUCUGGUCAUCAUCUGACGCUGAGGUACGAAAGCGUGGGUAGCAAACAGG
RNAcentral lists this ribosomal RNA (402 nucleotides) under Bacteroidota bacterium. RNAcentral describes it as "Bacteroidetes bacterium partial 16S ribosomal RNA". It matches the Rfam family "Bacterial small subunit ribosomal RNA", at positions 355 to 776 of the family's 1533-position model. The record is from RNAcentral. Lineage: Bacteria; Pseudomonadati; Bacteroidota.